CGGAGGGUGCAAGCGUUACUCGGAAUCACUGGGCGUAAAGGGCGCGUAGGCGGAUUAUCAAGUCUCUUGUGAAAUCUAAUGGCUUAACCAUUAAACUGCUUGGGAAACUGAUAGUCUAGAGUGAGGGAGAGGCAGAUGGAAUUGGUGGUGUAGGGGUAAAAUCCGUAGAUAUCACCAAGAAUACCCAUUGCGAAGGCGAUCUGCUGGAACUCAACUGACGCUAAGGCGCGAAAGCGUGGGGAGCAAACAGGAUUAGAUACCCUGGUAGUCCACCCCCUAAACGAUGUACACUAGUUGUUGGGAUGCUAGUCAUCUCAGUAAUGCAGCUAACGCAUUAAGUGUACCGCCUGGGGAGUACGGUCGCAAGAUUAAAACUCAAAGGAAUAGACGGGGACCCGCACAAGCGGUGGAGCAUGUGGUUUAAUUCGAAGAUACGCGAAGAACCUUACCUGGGCUUGAUAUCCUAAGAACCUUAUAGAGAUAAGAGGGUGCUAGCUUGCUAGAACUUAGAGACAGGUGCUGCACGGCUGUCGUCAGCUCGUGUCGUGAGAUGUUGGGUUAAGUCCCGCAACGAGCGCAACCCACGUAUUUAGUUGCUAACGGUUCGGCCGAGCACUCUAAAUAGACUGCCUUCGUAAGGAGGAGGAAGGUGUGGACGACGUCAAGUCAUCAUGGCCCUUAUGCCCAGGGCGACACACGUGCUACAAUGGCAUAUACAAUGAGACGCAAUACCGCGAGGUGGAGCAAAUCUAUAAAAUAUGUCCCAGUUCGGAUUGUUCUCUGCAACUCGAGAGCAUGAAGCC
Molecule: ribosomal RNA, 803 nt
Filed under: uncultured Salmonella sp.
Lineage: Bacteria; Pseudomonadati; Pseudomonadota; Gammaproteobacteria; Enterobacterales; Enterobacteriaceae
Description: bacterial SSU rRNA
Rfam family: Bacterial small subunit ribosomal RNA
Source: RNAcentral